This 497-nucleotide ribosomal RNA is filed under the name uncultured bacterium. RNAcentral describes it as "partial 16S ribosomal RNA". It matches the Rfam family "Bacterial small subunit ribosomal RNA", at positions 28 to 507 of the family's 1533-position model. The record is from RNAcentral.
GAUGAACGCUGGCGGCGUGCCUAAUACAUGCAAGUCGAGCGAACAGACGAGGAGCUUGCUCCUCUGACGUUAGCGGCGGACGGGUGAGUAACACGUGGAUAACCUACCUAUAAGACUGGGAUAACUUCGGGAAACCGGAGCUAAUACCGGAUAAUAUAUUGAACCGCAUGGUUCAAUAGUGAAAGACGGUUUUGCUGUCACUUAUAGAUGGAUCCGCGCCGCAGUAGCUAGUUGGUAAGGUAACGGCUUACCAAGGCGACGAUGCGUAGCCGACCUGAGAGGGUGAUCGGCCACACUGGAACUGAGACACGGUCCAGACUCCUACGGGAGGCAGCAGUAGGGAAUCUUCCGCAAUGGGCGAAAGCCUGACGGAGCAACGCCGCGUGAGUGAUGAAGGUCUUCGGAUCGUAAAACUCUGUUAUUAGGGAAGAACAAAUGUGUAAGUAACUAUGCACGUCUUGACGGUACCUAAUCCGAAAGCCACGGCUAACUACGUG